AAUUCUUUGAGUUUGAUGAUGGCUCUGAUUGAACGCUAUCCAAGUGCUUGACACAUGCUAAUCGAACGUCACCAUUCUUUAUGUGUGGUGAAGUGGUGUAAUGGUGAGUAAAUAGUAUUUUGGCUACCUUAGAGUAAGGGUAAAUCCCUUAUAACUAAAGAAAAAAAAAUUUUCGCUCUAAGAUGAUAAUUAAUAUUUCGGUAAGUAGUAGAAAAGGUAAUGUCUUAACUAGCUAGAUACCGUAGUCGUGACUGAGAGGUCGAUCGACCACAUUGGGUCUGAGAAAACCCCCAAUGCGUAAUUGUACAGCAGUGAGGAAUAUUGGUCAAUGGCCUAACGGCUGAACCAGCAACUUGGAAGAAUGUAGGUGUAUUAAUAUAAAUUAAUGCAAUAACGAUUCUAUCGUAUAAAAUUCUAAAUAGAUUAAUGAUAAUGACUAUUAUCUGUUUAUAAGUCUUGACCAAAUUGCGUGCCAGCAGUCGCGGUAAUACGUAGAAGACUAGUGUUAGUCAUCUUUAUUAGGUUUAAAGGGUACCUAGACGGUAAAUUAAACCUUAACGGGUACUUUUUUACUAGAGUUUUAUAUGAGAAGGGGAGUAUCCUUGAAGUAAUGUUAUAAUAUUUUAAUAACAAGGAGACUGGUAAAGGCGAAGGCUGCCUUCUAUUAAAAACUGACGUUGAGGGACGAAGGCUUGGGUAGCGAGAAGGAUUAGAUACCCUAGUAGUCCAAGCAGAAAAUUAUGAAUGUCAUAAGCUAGAUUAGAUUCUUAAAACACUAAUAAUUCGGGUUAUUAGAAAGAAAGAGUAGUUUAACUAAAUAGGGUGUUAACUAUAAGGAGGACAACCGCCUGUAUGUAGGGCGAAAGGUUUCCUCUAUCUUAAGUAAAUUUUAGCUUAUAAAUGAAAGUGUAAGCAUUCCACCUCAAGAGUAAAAUGGCAACAUUUAAACUGAAAUCAUUAGACCGUUUCUGAAACCAGUAGUGAAGUAUGUUAGUUAAUUCGAUAGUCCGCGAAAAACCUUACCACAAUUUGUAUAUUAUUAAAUUAUUACACGAGCUGCAUGGCUGUCUUUAGUUAAUGUCGUGAGAUCUGGUUAACUCCUUUAAUUAACGAAAACCCUCACCUUAUUUAUUUACAUAAAGUGGUUCACCGCUAUAUUGGAUUUGAUAAGAGGGAUUAAGACAAGUCAUCAUGGCCAUAAUAUUGUGGGCUUUAGACGUGCCACAGAUACCAAGACAAAGGGAUGCAAUAUCGUGAGAUGGAGCUAAUCCUUAAAAUUGGAUAAUAUGGAUUGUAGUCUGUAACUCGACUACAUGAAUAAGGAAUUACUAGUAAUCGUGAAUCACCACGUCACGGUGAAUGAAAUCUCAGUUAGGCACUAACCACUCGUCAGGCGCCGAAAGAUGUAUGUGCAAUAAGUUUGGUUAAUGAUUAAGCUAAUAUAUAUAGGUAGAUAUGUAUAGGUAUUCAUUUAAUCUUCGUAUGUAUGACUUUAAUUGGUGUUAAGUCGAAAUAAGGUUCGUGUAAUGGAAAUUGCACGGGAUUGAUAAAUCUU
Molecule: non-coding RNA, 1555 nt
Filed under: Gymnascella aurantiaca
Lineage: Eukaryota; Fungi; Ascomycota; Eurotiomycetes; Onygenales; Gymnoascaceae
Description: SSU rRNA
Rfam family: Bacterial small subunit ribosomal RNA
Source: RNAcentral